UUGGGAUUUUUACAUGCAUACCACUUUAUUUGUUUCAUAUUACAUAUUUAACACCUAAUUUUUAAAUAUUACAUUAAUACCACAUAAAUACUAUUCUCAUAACAAAAGUACCACUCCGUGAAAUGCUUCCCUCACUCCGUUUUCUUUCCCGCCUGUGAUUUUCGCGGGAGAGCAAGAGGUUUCAGCGAAACCUUCUGUAUCCCGGCUUCAGCUCUGCUCUUCCCGCCUCUGCUCUUUCUGCAAGUUCUUUAACUACAAAAAUCAGCAAAAUACAGGUUCUUUAACUACAAAAAUCUUCACGGAUUACCGGUGCUUCGCACCUCUGCUCUUCACGGGUAACAGGCACCUGGAGCCCUGCAGCUGUUCCAGUUUCGGCAAAGGCACCUGGAGCAUUUUAUAUUUCAAUUUCGGCAAAAGCACCUGGAGCCCUUGCUGAUUUCAAUUGCUCUGACAAAGGCACCUGCAGCAAGUUGAUUUCAAUUGCUUUGACAGGAAGAUGACCGGAGGAAGAUCGGCGAGGAAGAUGCCCGGAGGAAGAUCUGCCAGGAAGUUGCCCGGAGGGAAGAUCUGUGAGGAAGAUGCUCGGAGGAAGAUCGGCGAGGAAGAUGUCCGGAGGGAAGAUCUGCGAGGAAGAUGCCCGGAGGGAAGAUCAACGCGAAAGAAAUAACGCCUGGCGACAGCUCGCGGGGAGGAGAAUGCAAGGGUUCGCUGGCUAGGGCAUAUAACGAAUUCAGACGGAGUGAGGAAGCAAUUCACGGAGUGGUACUUUUGUUAUGAGAAUAGUAUUUAGGUGGUAUUAAUGUAAUACUUAAAAAUUAGGUGUUAAAUAUGUAAUAUGAAACAAAUAAAGUGGUAUGUAUGUAAAAAUCCC
Long non-coding RNA from Dendrobium catenatum, 871 nucleotides. RefSeq lists it as uncharacterized. The record is from RefSeq and is a predicted model, not a curated record. The transcript is spliced from 2 exons. Lineage: Eukaryota; Viridiplantae; Streptophyta; Magnoliopsida; Asparagales; Orchidaceae.